This 311-nucleotide unclassified non-coding RNA is filed under the name uncultured fungus. RNAcentral's name for it is "partial contains 5.8S ribosomal RNA and internal transcribed spacer 2". The stretch from base 1 to 133 matches the Rfam family "5.8S ribosomal RNA", at positions 22 to 154 of the family's 154-position model. The record is from RNAcentral. Lineage: Eukaryota; Fungi.
UGGUUCUGGCAUCGAUGAAGAACGCAGCGAAAUGCGAUAAGUAAUGCGAAUUGCAGAAUUCAGUGAGUCAUCGAAUCUUUGAACGCACAUUGCGCCCUGUGGUAUUCCGCAGGGCAUGCCUGUUCGAGCGUCAUUUCAACCCUCAAGCCUCGCUUGGUGUUGGGCCCUGCCCGCCGCGGCCGGCCCUAAAGAUAGUGGCGGCGCCGCCUGGCCCUCAGCGUAGUACAGCUCUCGCUCCAGGGUCCGGCGGCAGCCUGCCAGAACCCCCCAACUCUGUGGUUGACCUCGGAUCAGGUAGGGAUACCCGCUGA